GACGAACGCUGGCGGCGUGCCUAAUACAUGCAAGUCGAGCGAAGUUUUUCUGGUGCUUGCACCGGAAAAACUUAGCGGCGAACGGGUGAGUAACACGUAAAGAACCUGCCUCAUAGACUGGGACAACUAUUGGAAACGAUAGCUAAUACCGGAUAACAGCAUUAACUGCAUGGUUGAUGUUUAAAAGUUGGUUUUGCUAACACUAUGAGAUGGCUUUGCGGUGCAUUAGCUAGUUGGUGGGGUAAAGGCCUACCAAGGCGACGAUGCAUAGCCGACCUGAGAGGGUGAUCGGCCACACUGGGACUGAGACACGGCCCAGACUCCUACGGGAGGCAGCAGUAGGGAAUCUUCCGCAAUGGGCGAAAGCCUGACGGAGCAACGCCGCGUGAGUGAAGAAGGAUUUCGGUUCGUAAAGCUCUGUUGUUAGGGAAGAAUGAUUGUGUAGUAACUAUACACAGUAGAGACGGUACCC
This 472-nucleotide ribosomal RNA is filed under the name Gemella haemolysans. RNAcentral describes it as "bacterial SSU rRNA". It matches the Rfam family "Bacterial small subunit ribosomal RNA", at positions 28 to 480 of the family's 1533-position model. The record is from RNAcentral. Lineage: Bacteria; Bacillati; Bacillota; Bacilli; Caryophanales; Gemellaceae.